RNAcentral lists this unclassified non-coding RNA (401 nucleotides) under uncultured fungus. RNAcentral describes it as "partial contains small subunit ribosomal RNA, internal transcribed spacer 1, and 5.8S ribosomal RNA". The stretch from base 1 to 73 matches the Rfam family "Eukaryotic small subunit ribosomal RNA", at positions 1759 to 1831 of the family's 1831-position model. Lineage: Eukaryota; Fungi. The record is from RNAcentral.
GCAAACUUGGUCAUUUAGAGGAAGUAAAAGUCGUAACAAGGUCAUCGUAGGUGAACCUGCGGUGGGAUCAUUAAAGGAUUCUCUUAUGUGUAUUCCUUCUUAGUUUAGUUAGGAAGGGGUAUGUGUGUGGUUCCUAUGGGUAUAAAGCUUGGUAGAGGGUGGUUAGGUAGUGCCUAUGGCAUUACCUGCGCUCCUAUCAAAAAAGAGCAUGGCAUUGCCUACACUUGGUAGCCUUGUGCUACCGCGUAGGCCGUAGGCAGCGCCCUGCUCUUGCCAAAUCUCCAACUCUUGUGAAACCUUUUUCAUAACCAAAAUCUUACCAAAUGUGCUAGUUUGCAUAAUAAUCUUAUACAACUACCAAUGGCGGAUCACUUGGCUCUUGCAUCGAUGAAGAACGCAGC